GUGUGUGUUUCCACCUGUGUGUUUCCAGGUGCGUGUGUUUUCAGGUGUGUGUGUUUCCAGGUGCGUGUGUUUCCAGGUGCGUUUCUUUCCAGGUGUGUGUGCUUCCAGGUGCGUGUGUUUCCAGGUGCGUGUGUUUGCGUGUGUGUGUUUCCAGGUGCGUGUUUCCAGGUGUGUGUGUUUCCAGGUGUGUGUGUUUCCAGGUGCGUGUGUUUGCGUGUGUGUGUGUUUCCAGGUGCGUGUUUCCAGGUGUGUGUGUUUCCAGGUGCGUGUUUCCAGGUGUGUGUGUUUCCAGGUGUGUGUGUUUCCAGGUGUGUGUGUUUCCCGGGUGUGUGUUUCCAGGUGCGUGUUUCCAUGUGUGUGUGUUUCCAUGUGUGUGUGUUUCCAGGUGUGUGUGUUUCCAGGUGUGUGUGUUUCCAGGUGUGUGUGUUUCCAGGUGUGUGUGUUUCCCGGGUGUGUGUUUCCAGGUGCGUGUUUCCAUGUGUGUGUGUUUCCAGGUGUGUGUGUUUCCAUGUGGGUAUGUUGGCACCCUUGGGAGGCAUACGGGCAAAGCUCAGUCACCUGGCAUCCAGACUACAUUGGUAGACACCACGGUGCGAAGCCCCAACUGGUCCGAUUGCCAAAGUUGACAAGACUUCCUAUCAUCAGGUGCUGCUUUCCUCUACUAACAUGACACCUCACCCUAUUCGCUGCAUUACCCAUGAGGCCCUGUUAUCCUCUAUCCCGCCCCUCCUAGCCUACCCAGCCCGACCUGCCAUCCCAUCAUGUUAUGCCAUCGCGGUCACCACCGGCGAUGAUUCGCACCCCAGUCGGUGGGGGCUCUCGGUGUUUCAGAGGUGUUGGCACCACACUGCUACCAGACAAGGUGUUGUAACCACACUGCUACCAGACAAGGUGUUGUCACCCCACUGCUACCAGACAAGGUGUUGUCACCACACUGCUACCAGACAAGGUGUUGUAACCACACUGCUACCAGACAAGGUGUUGUCACCACACUGCUACCAGACAAGGUGUUGUUACCACACUGCUACCAGACAAGGUGUUGUCACCACACUG
RNAcentral lists this long non-coding RNA (1053 nucleotides) under Salmo salar (Atlantic salmon). Its description in RNAcentral is "lncRNA (ENSSSAG00000114567.1)". The record is from RNAcentral. Lineage: Eukaryota; Metazoa; Chordata; Actinopteri; Salmoniformes; Salmonidae.